AUGAAGCUCUUUGUCGAGACCUUCAUCGGCACGAUGCUCAGCAUCAAUGUCGACCUAUCCGACACCAUCAACGUUGUCAAGGCCAAGAUCCAGGGUCGCAUCAUUAAGACACAUCAUAACCAAUGUACAUCUGUGAUGACCAUUGAAACAAGCACCAGGAUUUCUCAGUCUCCUGCAACAUACAUGAAGCUCUUUGUCCAAACCCUCGCCGGCAAGACGAUCACCGUCAAGGUCGACCCGUCGGACACCAUCAACGUUGUCAAGGCCAAGAUUCAGGACCAGCAGUGCCUUACCGUUGGCGAGAAGGCGCUAGAGGACAGACGCACUGUGGCCGAUUACAGCAUCAAGGAUGAAUCCACUCUUCACAUUGAUCUGCGCUACCAGAGAAAGCGGAAGCAGCCAACUGUCAUGCAUGGUGAGCAGCCCAAAUCUGCAAAAAAGAAGAGAAUAGAUUAUCAAAUCUUUCUCAAAGGGCUUGUAGACAAAACCACCGCCCUUAAGGUUGCCUACUCGGAUACCGUCAGAAGUGUCAAGGAGAUGAUCCGGGACCGGCAGGACAUUCCCGUGGACGAGCAGAUGCUGAUCUAUGCAGGGAAACAGCUUGAAGAUGGUCGCACCAUGGAUGACUAUGGCAUAAAGAAGGAAUCUACACUUCACCUCAUGCUCCGCCUCCGAUCAUGCGGUCCUAAUUGCCCAAGACCCUGUCAAAGUGAGCCAGGCGAAGAUCAGGAUUCCCAUGCAGGUUCCUCCACUGUUAUCACUGCUGCUUCUCCCAAUGUCAAGCAACGUAAAAGAAAGAUUCAGACUCCUAUUGAUGUUGCCAACCUUAGGAGGAGCCCAAGAACCAACAAGUAUGACGGCUUUAAGGUGAACCUUCAAUCUAAUAGCAGAAUCCAGAAGUCCAAGGUAAAGAAGAGAUCCACUCCCUUAGCAACUACCGCUACCAAGAGCGAGGCCAAGGAAAUCCCUCCCCCAACUCCUAUCCCAAUAUUUCAACACAUUGGCAGUGUAUUGUCUGUGAUCAGGAGUGUAUGGGAUAUCAGCUUCGGAGCACUCCACAAACAAGUUGUUUGCUAA
RNAcentral lists this ribosomal RNA (1077 nucleotides) under Triticum aestivum (bread wheat). RNAcentral describes it as "partial small subunit ribosomal RNA". The record is from RNAcentral. Lineage: Eukaryota; Viridiplantae; Streptophyta; Magnoliopsida; Poales; Poaceae.